AAGAGAGAGUCAAAAGACCGUGAAACCGCUCAGAGUAUAAGCCAAUGGAGCUUGGAAGGCUUCCGCAGUGUCGGCCAUCUAUAUGGUGUGUCGUGAGGCAUGUAGCGCGGUUCGUUGGGCGGAGCAUUUGAGUAUGCCGCUUAGCUUACGUGCGGGGAAGCGGUUUUGGGGUCUUAGGCUUCGCGGCCGAAGGGCUCCUGGCCGUUUCCUUUAGAAUGAACGUUCAGAGCUACUGUGUCCUUAUGCGGUUACGCCCACCACGGCACGUUGUGAGGUCACCCACAGGCUCAAACUGCCGAUCGCGAAUCCAGGACGAUGGCAACGAUGCGUUGUUCACGGCUCGAUCUCUAGUGGAGCCGAUACACGCGUGUCUAGUCCUGGGUCGGGCGGCGACCGAGUUAAACCUGGUAUGAUCCUCUUGCGACGAGCUGCUUUCUGGCCAGACCGACGUCCGGGCGCUUCCACUGUGCCGGAAGCGUCUAUCCCAGGCGGUAUGACCCAGCUGCAUUUUGCAAGGUCUCUCAGCCGGGCGUUGGUCUGAGUGGUGUCAAGUCCAGCACCAUCGGUCACGUCUCGAAACACGGGCCAAGGAGUAUAGCAUGUGUGCAAGUCUAAGGGUCUCCCAAAACCCGAAGGCGAAGUGAAAGCAAGACUGUGGCGGGGGAGCUACGGCGAACCCGCCGGCCUUGAGGCACACACUCUGUGUGUGUUGCUCGGCUUUUAGCAGAGCUGAUCCUGCUUCUCGGUUAAUUCUUGGUGCAGGCGCAAGCUCCGGGCUCACGUACAACACUGGUCACACACACCUCGUGUGUGUGUGGCUGUGUUGUGAGCACCGUUUAGCA
This 842-nucleotide ribosomal RNA is filed under the name Niphargus sp. NC964. RNAcentral's name for it is "partial large subunit ribosomal RNA". Lineage: Eukaryota; Metazoa; Arthropoda; Malacostraca; Amphipoda; Niphargidae. RNAcentral also lists the same sequence under 1 other name. The record is from RNAcentral.